AAAGCUAGAUUGGUUGGAAUGGAAGUCUAUUAUUUCUAGUAUUGGAUAGAAUUUAUAUGAUUUGGAUGGUCUUUUGAAAGUGUACGAUUAUACUUUGUUGUUAUUAGUUGAUGAAGGAGUAUUGUUAGUAGGAAAAAAUAUUGUAGUAUUUUUUGGUGUUUUUAGUGGUUUGGAAUAUAGUUAAUUGUGUGACCUUAAUGUGUAAGCUCAUGUGGUUAGUCUUUUCCUAUAUUUGAAUCCUUCUCUACAGAUUUAUUCUAAAAGAAAUUUGUAGAAUAAGUAAAAUAAAAAUCACAGUGAUAAUAUAGCUCUAAUAUAAA
RNAcentral lists this long non-coding RNA (320 nucleotides) under Physcomitrium patens. RNAcentral's name for it is "long non-coding RNA (PPAT_LNC008094)". The record is from RNAcentral. Lineage: Eukaryota; Viridiplantae; Streptophyta; Bryopsida; Funariales; Funariaceae.